AUGGAUAGCAUACCAGGCUCACAAGAGGAAUUGCUUCGAAUGAGGAAAAAUGGUGAGGCAGGAAAGAAGGGGGAAGACCAUGGAAAUGCCUUGAGCCGCAAGGAGGCGACCGAGGAGCUUAUCGGUUGCAUGGUCCACAGUGAGGAGGAGGCAUACAAGCUGUACUGCGACUAUGGACAUCGAAUCGGCUUUAGUGUCCGGAAGGGCAAGCAGUCCUACUUCAUUGGUACCAGGGACAUCCGGACAAAAGAUUACUACUGCUCGAAGGAAGGGCUUAAAUACGACGAGCCUGUCACAGAAGCGAAUUUCAACCGGCCGGACACAAGAACGAAUUGCAAGGCGAUGGUCCGCUUUAGAGUCGAUGAGAAAGGGCGUUGGACUGUCAUACGCUUUGUUCCCCUGCACAAUCACCAGUUGGCUAAACCUGGGGAGAGGCAUCUGUUGAGAUCCGCGAAGUCAUUUGCUGUUGGAAAAUCAGGUGUUAUAGAUCCAGCAGAAUCUGCUGAAUCACAUGCAAUGAAUGGUUCUUCUGAUAGGACCGUGGGUGAUAUUAGUGAACCUCCAGGCUACACGACAAGGGAUUGCUACAAUCAUGACAACGUGCAGAAUAUAACGCUAAUUGGGGCAGGAGACAGCCAAAGUCUUGUGAGCUACUUCAAGCGUAGAACCAACGAGGAAGGAAUGUUUUAUUGGGAUGUCCAAGUUGAUCAAGAAGGCCGCAUGACUAACUUCUUCUUCAGGGAUGGUAAAAGUAGAAGUGAUUAUGACUGCUUUGGGGAUGCUGUUAUAUUUGACACAACCUACCGCACAAAUAAAUAUAGCCUGAUAUGUGCCCCUUUUGUUGGAGUUAACCACCAUUGGCACAAUGUUGUUUUUGGAUUUGCAUUCCUGUUAGAUGACUCCACAGCUUCCUAUGUUUGGCUAUUUAAAUCAUUUUUGGAGUCAAUGGGUGGCCGGUCGCCAAAAUCGAUUUUCACUGACCAGGAUGAAGCUAUUAUGCAGGCAGCCGAGCAGGUGUUUCCUAACACGCGGCAUUGCUUCUCCUACUGGCAUAUCCUGAAGAAUGCACAGUCUCAUUUAGGCACUGUAAAUACUUCUCAAGCAUUUCAAAAUAUGUUUAUGAAGUGCAUGCAAGGAUGUGACACAGAAAUGGAGCUUCAGGAAUCUUGGGAUGCUAUGCUUGAUGAAUACAAACUACAGGAUAAUGAUUGGCUUAAUGGCCUUUAUAAGUUUCAUAACAGAUGGUGCUCGGUAUUUAACAAAGAUACUUUUGAUGGUGGGAUCAAUUCAUCCCAGUGGGGAGAAGUCUCAAACAAUAUCCUCACUGGAGUUGCUGAUGAAUCUACUUCUAUAACAAGAUUUGCUCUCUUGCUGGAAAAGGUUGUGAAAACACUACGUAGAAAUGAGUCAGAAGAGGAUUUUCGCUGCAGCCAAACUGCUCCAGUUCGUGCAAUCAAGCACAGUACAGUUCUGAAGCAGGCUGCGGAAUCUUAUACACAUAGGAUGUACAAGUUAUUUGAGGCUGAAUUUCUGGAUGGAUGUGGAGCAACUUCAUGUCAUGAAAAUUCCUGUGGUGGAAGCUUAUUGAGGUUUGAAAUAACAAUGCAGGGCAGGGGUUCAAAAAUGUGGACUGUUCUUCUUGAUACAUCCACAAUGGAAAUCUCUUGUGGUUGCGGAAAGUUUGAAAGGAUGGGCCUUCUUUGUUCUCAUGCUCUGAAAGCCUUCAGCCUGCAGAAUGUGGAUAUGGUUCCUGAAAAGUACAUCUUGAAACGGUGGACGAAAGAUGCCAGGAGAAGCAUGUAUAAUCUCAGUCAAGAAGAUUCAACACAACAAGAAUGUACCGAGGCUGAACUUGCGUAUCGCAAUCGCGCAAUGCAGUAUGCGUAUAACCUUGCAUUGAAGAGCCAGGAACUGGAAGAAGCAAGAAAGAUAUUCUGGGACUCCCUUGAAACAGGAGAGAAGGCACUUGAAGUGUUCUUCGAAAUGAGAAAUCUGCACGCUCAAUCUGCCAAAGAUGCCAGUACAAGGGAGAAGAAGAAGAAGAAGAAAAUACCUAAAGGACCAAGCACCAAAAAAGCAAAGCAAGCCCUGGCAUCUUCCUCGGCUGCUCCGGUACUAACCGCCCAAACUAAUGAGCAGCAGUUUCAAUCUGCACAAGAUGCAAAUGGUAAUGCAACCAUUGGAAGAUCAUAUUACUAUCAGGUUUUUCCAACGCCUAUGCAACCAAACCAGAUCUUCAUGCAUCCGAAUACAAUGCCUGUUUGUGCACCACAGGAUUUGUCAGCAUAUGCCACAGUGCGUCCUAAUUCAAAUUUCGGCGGCGCGAAGAACAUCUAA
This 2337-nucleotide ribosomal RNA is filed under the name Triticum aestivum (bread wheat). RNAcentral describes it as "partial small subunit ribosomal RNA". The record is from RNAcentral. Lineage: Eukaryota; Viridiplantae; Streptophyta; Magnoliopsida; Poales; Poaceae.